Molecule: ribosomal RNA, 482 nt
Filed under: uncultured bacterium
Lineage: Bacteria
Description: partial 16S ribosomal RNA
Rfam family: Bacterial small subunit ribosomal RNA
Source: RNAcentral
AUUGAACGCUGGCGGCAUGCUUUACACAUGCAAGUCGAACGGUAACAGGCCGCAAGGUGCUGACGAGUGGCGAACGGGUGAGUAAUGCAUCGGAACGUGCCCAGUCGUGGGGGGUAACUACUCGAAAGAGGAGCUAAUACCGCAUACGAUCUAUGGAUGACAGCGGGGGACCGUAAGGCCUCGCGCGAUUGGAGCGGCCGAUUUCAGAUUAGGUAGUUGGUGGGGUAAAGGCGCACCACGCGAACGAUCUGUAGCUGGUCGGAGAGGAGGACGAGCCACACUGGGACUGAGACACGGCCCAGAGUCCUACGGGAGGCAGCAGUGGGGAAUAUUGGACAAUGGGCGCAAGCCUGAUCCAGCAAUGCCGCGUGCAGGAAGAAGGCCUUCGGGUUGUAAACUGCUUUUGUACGGAACGAAACGGCUCUGGUUAAUACCCGGGGCUAAUGACGGUACCGGAAGAAUAAGCACCGGCUAACUACGUG